GACGGAGGGUGCUAGCGUUGUUCGGAAUCACUGGGCGUAAAGCGCACGUAGGCGGAUGUGUCAGUCAGGGGUGAAAUCCCGGGGCUCAACCUCGGAACUGCCUCCGAUACAGCACAUCUCGAGUCCGGAAGAGGUGAGUGGAAUUCCUAGUGUAGAGGUGAAAUUCGUAGAUAUUAGGAAGAACACCAGUGGCGAAGGCGGCUCACUGGUCCGGUACUGACGCUGAGGUGCGAAAGCGUGGGGAGCAAACAGG
Molecule: ribosomal RNA, 253 nt
Filed under: uncultured bacterium
Lineage: Bacteria
Description: partial 16S ribosomal RNA
Rfam family: Bacterial small subunit ribosomal RNA
Source: RNAcentral